UACGUAGGGCGCAAGCGUUAUCCGAAAUUAUUGGGCGUAAAGAGCUCGUAGGCGGUUUGUCGCGUCUGCCGUGAAAGUCCGGGGCUCAACUCCGGAUCUGCGGUGGGUACGGGCAGACUAGAGUGAUGUAGGGGAGACUGGAAUUCCUGGUGUAGCGGUGAAAUGCGCAGAUAUCAGGAGGAACACCGAUGGCGAAGGCAGGUCUCUGGGCAUUAACUGACGCUGAGGAGCGAAAGCAUGGGGAGCGAACAGG
This 253-nucleotide ribosomal RNA is filed under the name uncultured bacterium. RNAcentral's name for it is "partial 16S ribosomal RNA". It matches the Rfam family "Bacterial small subunit ribosomal RNA", at positions 524 to 776 of the family's 1533-position model. The record is from RNAcentral.